Molecule: ribosomal RNA, 962 nt
Filed under: Triticum aestivum (bread wheat)
Lineage: Eukaryota; Viridiplantae; Streptophyta; Magnoliopsida; Poales; Poaceae
Description: partial small subunit ribosomal RNA
Source: RNAcentral
CACGGCUCUGUCUCGUUCACUAGGGUGGGCGGCGGCGGCGGUAGCGGUACGUCCGGGGCGAGGCAGGCCGGGUGGGGCACGGCCCGAAGCGGCUGAGGGCGGAGGGGAGAUGGUUGCUGCCGGUCCCGGCGGAGAAGAUGGGGCCGACGUAGGGGGAGAGGAAGAGGGGCUCGGGGUCCGGCAGCGGCGAGCGGUGGGGGAAGUGGGGCUCGGGGUCUAGCGGGUGGAGGAGGAGGAGGAGGAGGCCGUGGGAGGAGCUGCUGCGGCCACCGCUGCUACGCCAGCGCUGCCUCGUGGCGCGGCACGAGGUGAUGUUCUGCCGCGCGUUGCUGGUGGUGCUGGCGACGCAGCGGGAGGAGUGGCUGCGGCGCGCGCUCCGGCUGCGCGAGGCGGACGUUUUACUCUUCGAGGCGCUCCAGUUGACGCUGGACCGGACGGCGAAGCGGUCCGAGCCGUUGCUGGUCCGGCGGAGUUCGGAGGAGGACGAGCCCGUCUACGGCCGGUGGGGCCGCCCCUUCGUGCGGGCCUACGGGUUCUCGUAGAGGUAGGCGGCCAGCUGACCCUCGCCGCCGCCGGUGCGGUUCCCAGACGAGUGGUUGCUGUAGCAGUGCCUCUCGCGGUUCCGUCUCCUCGUGGCCCAGUCGUGGUUCCGUCUCCUCGUGGUGCAGCCGGAACGGUUCCGCCUCCCCGUGGUGCAGCCGCGGUUCCGGCUCCUCUCGCCGUUCCACGCGUUCCGGCGGCGGCUUGAGUUGCAGAUGUGGGUCCCGUGCAUGUUUUGUCUCGACACGGCGUUAACCCUCUCGUGUCCUCACACGGGGAUGCUACUGUUAACGGCCAAGCUAUGACUCGAGGCGGGUCAGUCGGCGGUGGGCGCGAUGUUCUGGGUCCGUACGGCGGACAAGCGGUCGCCGGAGACGUAAAUGCCCGUGGCGACGGUGAAAACGGUGAGGCCGGCGGGCACU